Molecule: non-coding RNA, 96 nt
Organism: Salvelinus sp. IW2-2015
Lineage: Eukaryota; Metazoa; Chordata; Actinopteri; Salmoniformes; Salmonidae
Source: RefSeq, a predicted model, not a curated record
GGACUUGAAAAUYAGCCGGAGCUGAGAGGAUCACCGAAAGAGCUUACAACCAUCUGGAGAACCGUGGACAAAGGGCUGGACAACAGGCCGCACCGG